GAAGAAGAGGGUUUCGGGUAAGGGAGAAAGAAAGGAAAGAAAGAAAAGAAAAAAUUCUAGUCCUUCAAUCUUGAACAACAAAAAUUGAAAUUGUUGUGUAAUACUACUAAGUGCAAGAUUCUCUACAAGGUGGUAUAAUUACUUUGGCAAGAAAAUAGCUUGGGUGACAAGUGAAGGAGUUGAGAAAAGGUUUUUGACGAAACGGGAUUUGAGCCUUGGCGAUCGUAAAAGGCAAGAAAGGUCCAGGGACGCGACCCGGCGAUCCAGCUAUUUAGGGGGAGACAGCUUUGGGAAGUCAGACAGCUCCACUAGUUCCGGAGGCUGUUCUUAUUUCGGUAUAAUUUUGUAUAUAUGUCUUGUAAGUCAUACUCUUUAGGAGUCUGCGAACAGCGUGGGUGUCAUGAGUACUGUUUGGUUUUGUCGGUCGUCAUUUUGUCGUACAGAAUUGGU
This is a long non-coding RNA of Lycium barbarum (goji berry), 450 nucleotides long. RefSeq lists it as uncharacterized. NCBI's taxonomy places the organism in Eukaryota, Viridiplantae, Streptophyta, Magnoliopsida, Solanales, Solanaceae. The record is from RefSeq and is a predicted model, not a curated record. The transcript has 3 exons.